RNAcentral lists this unclassified non-coding RNA (201 nucleotides) under Hevea brasiliensis (rubber tree). Lineage: Eukaryota; Viridiplantae; Streptophyta; Magnoliopsida; Malpighiales; Euphorbiaceae. The record is from RNAcentral.
AAACAAGUUGACUACACUCUCUAUAUUCUUGCUUUAAGCACUAUGAAAAGUAUUUACUAACAACAUAUUUGGCCAAAAAGAAUAUAUUGUACUAACAACAUAAAGAUUUACAGAAAAUUGUAAAUUAAACUGAGUUGCUCAUUUCUCGCCGGAAAAGCUUCACAGAUGGUAUUGGUAUGCCAAUUUUGCCUUGCACCUUUG